Molecule: non-coding RNA, 154 nt
Filed under: Massilistercora timonensis
Lineage: Bacteria; Bacillati; Bacillota; Clostridia; Eubacteriales
Source: RNAcentral
GAGGUGCCUGCCCAUGGCAGGGUAACAGACAAGUGGGUCAAAGUCCCACACGGUCCCGCCGCUGUAGAGGAAGAGUGAUGCUUCAUAAUGUCACUGGGAAACCGGGAAGGCGAAGCAUCGUGAUGACGCCUGAGUCAGAAGACCUACCCGUUGC